Pocillopora damicornis (cauliflower coral) is the source of this 276-nucleotide long non-coding RNA. NCBI's taxonomy places the organism in Eukaryota, Metazoa, Cnidaria, Anthozoa, Scleractinia, Pocilloporidae. The record is from RefSeq and is a predicted model, not a curated record.
GAAAGACUGGACGGAUCGUGUUCCUUGUCUUCGAUUUAAACAGAGAGAGUCAGAGAGAGGAUACCUCGAGUUUGUCUACAAAAGGGGCUGCUGGUCGUAUCUUGGCCAUAUUGGUAGACGUCAAGAAGUCUCUAUUGGACGGUACACUGAGGAUCCCCCCUGUGUACAAGGAUCAAUCACUCACGAGUUAGGACACGCCAUCGGAUUUUUACACGAACAGAAUCGACCUGACAGGGAUGAUUACGUCAAAAUCAACUGGCAUAACAUGGCGCGCGG